Molecule: non-coding RNA, 21 nt
Organism: Caenorhabditis elegans
Lineage: Eukaryota; Metazoa; Nematoda; Chromadorea; Rhabditida; Rhabditidae
Source: Ensembl
UUACUUUUAGGAGAUUUAUUU